AUUGGAGGACAACCACGCAACUUUUGUUGAAACUGUACCUUUCAAGACAAUUGCAUUUUUCACAAUAUUCCAGUCAGCUUAUUUGUUGAUCUGUUUCGGUAUCACCUGGAUUCCUCUUGCUGGGGUGUUGUUCCCUUUGAUAAUCAUGCUUCUGGUUCCUAUUAGACANAACAGAGUGAAUUUAACUUGCGGAAGCCUACUUCAUUUCAUUACGAUUUGUUUUUGUUAGGAUUCAUGGUAUGGUGGCAAAUCCUUCCUAAAAACUAACCAUUUAGUCGUUUUCUGUCAUUUUAUGAAACCUCCACUCUAAUCAAAAUGACUUGUUACAAUGUUGAAGGUCAUAUUGUGUGGCCUUACUGGAAUCCCCCCAUCAAAUGGUGUCAUUCCACAAUCUCCAAUGCAUACUAAAAGUUUGGCUACACUUAAGCAUCAGGUUUACAUUUACCACAGACACAUUUCUUACACCGCUCGUUUAAUAUUAUAAUCUUAAACUAAAGAUGAAAAUCGCGGCUGUCUGUAUUAGCUAGUUAAUAUUCAUCUCCGUAUCUUAGCAUUUAAUCACACAAUAUACUUUUAUCACAAUGAUAUUCACUGAGCUCAGCAUAUUCAUUGCUGCUUUGCCAUCUUUUUGCAUGUAGCUUCUUCGUAGUCGAUUGGUAACGACAGCACGCGAAUGUCUGGGCAAUAACAGUAGUCUAGAUCAAGUAUAUGGAAAGUUACAAGAAGCCUAUGAAGGGAUGCAGAGUCCAGUGCAUAACCAAGAGCCAUCAGCUCGAGUACGGCGCUUUCAUGAUUUUCAUUUAACAUAGUUUUUUUUCCCCUUAUGUUUCCCUUUUUGAUCUACAUACUUGUACACUUAGUCAACAUUAUUUUAAAUUUAUUCUUGGAACAGAGAUUAAAUGAAUUGAAAGACUCAACUAUCAAAUCAGCUUCCAGCAUGGGAAACAUUAAUGCUCCAGUUGAUGAGUCCGUUUUUGAUGUUGAGAAAGAGAUUGAUGAUUUGAUACCUGUUGAAGUAAAGGAACAGAGAGUCAGUAACUUACUGCAAUCUUUAAUGGUGGGAGGAUGUGUUGCAGCCAUGCCUCUGCUAAAAAAGAUCCCAACGUCAGUACUCUGGGGAUACUUCGCAUAUAUGGCUGUUGAAAGCUUACCCGGAAACCAGUUUUGGGAGCGGAUCUUACUACUAUUCACAGCUCCAAGUAGAAGAUACAAGUAGCUACUUUCCCAUGAACAUUUGUACAAGUUCAGUUAAUUUUUAAUUUCGCUAAACUGAUUCUCUGCAACUAACCAAUAUGCAUCUGUUUUUUGUUUUUGUUACGUGUUAACAGAAUAUUGGAGGACAACCACGCAACUUUUGUUGAAACUGUACCUUUCAAGACAAUUGCAUUUUUCACAAUAUUCCAGUCAGCUUAUUUGUUGAUCUGUUUCGGUAUCACCUGGAUUCCUCUUGCUGGGGUGUUGUUCCCUUUGAUAAUCAUGCUUCUGGUUCCUAUUAGACAAUACAUUUUACCCAAGUUUUUCAAAGAGGAACACCUUCAAGAUUUAGAUGCAGCAGAGUAUGAAGAGGCAGCUGCUUUACCAUAUAACCUUGCAAUGGUAAGCUUUGCAUUCUCUCAUUAAUAUAAAGAAUCUUCUUUACCUUUUUAUUUACAAAUUUAUCUUCUACAAUUUCAACUUUCUGCAUAUACACAUA
RNAcentral lists this long non-coding RNA (1693 nucleotides) under Daucus carota (carrot). RNAcentral's name for it is "long non-coding RNA (DCAR_LNC006409)". The record is from RNAcentral. Lineage: Eukaryota; Viridiplantae; Streptophyta; Magnoliopsida; Apiales; Apiaceae.